This 554-nucleotide ribosomal RNA is filed under the name uncultured archaeon. RNAcentral describes it as "bacterial SSU rRNA". It matches the Rfam family "Archaeal small subunit ribosomal RNA", at positions 325 to 879 of the family's 1478-position model. The record is from RNAcentral.
UCGGGGUGCAGCAGGCGCGAAAACUUUACAAUGCUGGCAACAGCGAUAAGGGGACCUCGAGUGCCAGGAUACAAUCUUGGCUGUCGUGAUGCCUAAAAAGCAUUGCAUAGCAAGGGCCGGGCAAGACCGGUGCCAGCCGCCGCGGUAACACCGGCGGCUCGAGUGGUAACCGCUAUUAUUGGGUCUAAAGGGUCUGUAGCCGGCCGGAUAAGUCUCUUGGGAAAUCCGACAGCUCAACUGUCGGGCUUUCAGGGGAUACUGUUCGGCUCGAGGCCGGGAGAGGUGAGAGGUACUUCAGGGGUAGGGGUGAAAUCUUGUAAUCCUUGAAGGACCACCAGUGGCGAAGGCGUCUCACCAGAACGGUCCUGACGGCAAGGGACGAAAGCUAGGGGCACGAACCGGAUUAGAUACCCGGGUAGUCCUAGCCGUAAACGAUACUCGCUAGGUGUCGGCCACGGUGCGACCGUGGUCGGUGCCGUAGGGAAGCCGUGAAGCGAGCCACCUGGGAAGUACGGCCGCAAGGCUGAAACUUAAAGGAAUUGGCGGGGGAGCAC